RNAcentral lists this ribosomal RNA (660 nucleotides) under Triticum aestivum (bread wheat). RNAcentral describes it as "partial small subunit ribosomal RNA". The record is from RNAcentral. Lineage: Eukaryota; Viridiplantae; Streptophyta; Magnoliopsida; Poales; Poaceae.
AUGAAUUGUAUGAGUUGGAACUAUCGGGGGCUUGGGAACCCAUCGACAGUUCGAGAGAUUCGCAAGAUUGUGAAGCAGGAAGGACCCUCCCUUUUGUUUAUUAUGGAAACAAAGAUAAAAGGGACCAAAGUUGAGAGUCUGAAGAACCUCCUUGGUUUUUCGGGGUGUUUUGCUGUUGAUAGCAACGGCCUUAGUGGUGGCAUUGGUUUGUUCUGUACAGAUAAUGUAACAGCUGAACUGAAAAACUAUAGCCGCGCACACAUUGAUGUAAGUGUCAAUUCAAGUGAUCAGCAGCAAUCUUGGCGCUUCACGGGUUUUUACGGAGAACCUCGAACUGAAAAUAGAUAUCUUAGUUGGGAGUUCUUGAGUACUUUGUAUGGUAUUCCACAUUCUGGUUGGCUCUGUAUGGGAGAUUUCAAUGAAAUUAUGUAUGCUGAUGAGCAUUUCAGCAUCCAUCCAAGGCCGGAGUGGCAAAUGCGAGGUUUCCGGGAGGUCUUGGAUAAUUGCUCCUUUCAAGACCUUGGCUGGAGAGGUGUUCCUUUUACAUGGGACAAUAAACAGCAGGGAAAUUCCAAUGUAAAAGCACGACUCAAUCGUGUUGUUGGUAAUGCAGAUUUUCUUUCCUUGUUCGUGUAUUCUUCUGUGAAACAUAUCAGCUGA